This 253-nucleotide ribosomal RNA is filed under the name uncultured bacterium. RNAcentral's name for it is "partial 16S ribosomal RNA". It matches the Rfam family "Bacterial small subunit ribosomal RNA", at positions 524 to 776 of the family's 1533-position model. The record is from RNAcentral.
UACGUAGGGACCGAGCGUUGUCCGGAUUCAUUGGGCGUAAAGAGCUCGUAGGCGGCCACUCAAGUCGAAUGUGAAACCUCGAGGCUUAACCUCGAGCCUGCAUUCGAUACUGGGCGGCUAGAGUCUGGUAGGGGGAUCUGGAAUUCCUGGUGUAGCGGUGGAAUGCGCAGAUAUCAGGAGGAACACCGGUGGCGAAGGCGGGUCUCUGGGCCGAAAUUGACGCUGAGGAGCGAAAGCGUGGGGAGCAAACAGG